RNAcentral lists this ribosomal RNA (251 nucleotides) under uncultured beta proteobacterium. RNAcentral's name for it is "partial 16S ribosomal RNA". It matches the Rfam family "Bacterial small subunit ribosomal RNA", at positions 9 to 256 of the family's 1533-position model. The record is from RNAcentral. Lineage: Bacteria; Pseudomonadati; Pseudomonadota; Betaproteobacteria.
GAGUUUGAUCCUGGCUCAGAUUGAACGCUGGCGGCAUGCCUUACACAUGCAAGUCGAACGGCAGCAUGAUCUAGCUUGCUAGAUUGAUGGCGAGUGGCGAACGGGUGAGUAAUACAUCGGAACGUGCCCUGUAGUGGGGGAUAACUAGUCGAAAGAUUAGCUAAUACCGCAUACGACCUGAGGGUGAAAGUGGGGGACCGCAAGGCCUCAUGCUAUAGGAGCGGCCGAUGUCUGAUUAGCUAGUUGGUGGG